GUACUCAUUUUGGUAGCACAUACACCAAAAUUGGAAUGAUACAGAGACUAGCAUGGACCCUGCACAAGGAUGACGCGCAAAUUCAUGAAGCAUUCCAUAUUUUU
This 104-nucleotide small nuclear RNA is filed under the name Myotis davidii. Lineage: Eukaryota; Metazoa; Chordata; Mammalia; Chiroptera; Vespertilionidae. The record is from RNAcentral.